UUAUAAUAAAAAAUGCUGAGUCAUCUCUUCAAUACAGACAACUUUAAUCAGAGCUUUACAGAGCAACUAGACAGGAAGUGAAAAGACAACCAUAAGAUCCAUUGUAAUUAUUGACAAUGGUCUUUUAUGACAAAUGAGUAGUAGAACGUUCAGAGGAAAAAAAGAGAACAGGAUCAGUAAGGAAACGACUGCAAGAGUGUAAUAAAACAUCUCAAUGUAACAAUAUUACAAUAAGAAGUGAUGGUGAUAUAUACAUCUCAAUGUAACAAUAUUACAAUAAGAAGUGAUGGUGAUAUAUACAUCUCAAUGUAACAAUAUUACAAUAAGAAGUGAUGGUGAUAUAUACAUCUCAAUGUAACAAUAUUACAAUAAGAAAAGUGAUGGUGAUAUAUACAUCUCAAUGUAACAAUAUUACAAUAAGAAGUGAUGGUGAUAUAUACAUCUCAAUGUAACAAUAUUACAAUAAGAAGUAUGAUGGUGAUAUAUACAUCUCAAUGUAACAAUAAUACAAUAAGAAGUGAUGGUGAUAUAUACAUCUCAAUGUAACAAUAUUACAAUAAGAAAAGUGAUGGUGAUAUAUACAUCUCAAUGUAACAAUAUUACAAUAAGAAGUAUGAUGGUGAUAUAUACAUCUCAAUGUAACAAUAUUACAAUAAGAAAAGUGAUGGUGAUAUAUACAUCUCAAUGUAACAAUAUUACAAUAAGAAGUAUGAUGGUGAUAUAUACAUCUCAAUGUAACAAUAUUACAAUAAGAAGUGAUGGUGAUAUAUACAUCUCAAUGUAACAAUAUUACAAUAAGAAGUGAUG
Molecule: long non-coding RNA, 807 nt
Organism: Oncorhynchus keta (chum salmon)
Lineage: Eukaryota; Metazoa; Chordata; Actinopteri; Salmoniformes; Salmonidae
Exons: 4
Source: RefSeq, a predicted model, not a curated record